Molecule: ribosomal RNA, 420 nt
Filed under: Rhinella martyi
Lineage: Eukaryota; Metazoa; Chordata; Amphibia; Anura; Bufonidae
Also listed under: 1 other name
Description: partial large subunit ribosomal RNA
Rfam family: Bacterial large subunit ribosomal RNA
Source: RNAcentral
CUUGAGCUUUAUAAGAGGUCCAGCCUGCCCAGUGACUCUGUUCAACGGCCGCGGUAUCCUAACCGUGCGAAGGUAGCGUAAUCACUUGUUCUUUAAAUGCGGACUAGUAUGAAUGGCACUACGAGGGUUAUACUGUCUCCUUUUUCUAAUCAGUGAAACUAAUUUUCCCGUGAAGAAGCGGGGAUAUAACUAUAAGACGAGAAGACCCUAUGGAGCUUUAAACAACCCAGCAAUUACUUCUAAAAUUAUAAAUUUCAGAAUAUCCACUUUUUAAGUUAUAUGUCUGCAAGUUUUUGGUUGGGGUGACCAUGGAGUAUAACAUAACCUCCAUAUUGAAUGAAUUCCCUUCUAAGCUAAAAAUUACCAAUUGAAGCAUCAACAUACUGACAUCUAUUGACCCAAUAUAUUUGAUCAACGAAC